This 253-nucleotide ribosomal RNA is filed under the name uncultured Acidobacteriota bacterium. RNAcentral's name for it is "uncultured Acidobacteria bacterium partial 16S ribosomal RNA". It matches the Rfam family "Bacterial small subunit ribosomal RNA", at positions 524 to 776 of the family's 1533-position model. The record is from RNAcentral. Lineage: Bacteria; Pseudomonadati; Acidobacteriota.
UACGUAGGCAGCGAGCGUUGUUCGGAGUUACUGGGCGUAAAGAGUGCGUAGGCGGUUGGCUGUGUCUGGUGUGAAAUCUCCCGGCUUAACUGGGAGGGUGCGCCGGAAACUGGCUGGCUCGAGUAUGGGAGAGGAAAGCGGAAUUCCUGGUGUAGCGGUGAAAUGCGUAGAUAUCAGGAGGAACACCUGCGGUGUAGACGGCUUUCUGGACCAUCACUGACGCUGAGGCACGAAAGCGUGGGGAGCAAACAGG